CUGGGGUGUGAAUGUGUGUGUUAGUGAGAAAGUGCUACACAAGAAUCAGACCAUGUAAGUGUUCAUAUAUUUGGUGGUAUAAUGUAGGCUGCACAUUUUGUGCAUGUGCAGAUGAUCAGAAUUAAACGUUGUCAGAGUCUUAUUAAAUUCCCUGUGAGGACAGUGAACAGCUCAUUAGUCCAGUCUGGGUGUCGUUGUGAGUUUCAUAAAAUCAGAGUAAUGAGCUCACAGCUUCAUUUCUAAAAAUGCUCUUUAUGUCAUGGCCCUGUGCCUCCCCGGCUAGCCCGGUCUGGCUACAAGUGUUUUUGUCUCUUUUGUCCCUUCUCUCUUCCCUCUCGUGCUCUGCACACCACCGGGGCGGAGUUCUCUGUGAGCUCCCGCCCCUGGCUCCCGCACCUGCAAACAAUCUCCACUCUGGCUCGGGACUUAAGGAGGUGGCUGGAGGCGCCUCGUCGCUGGAUUAUUGUGUAACACUUACUUCUCGCCAGCCUGAGGAUCGCCAUUUGGUGAGCUUUAGCCGGAGUACGAGCUAGCCUGAGCGUCCGGGAGAGAUUGUACAUAGCCCGUGUGUUCCUUCCCUGUGCCUGUGUCCCUGGAGACCCACCUUCCCGUGACCUCCCCCCCCACUUGUAUAUAUUCGCAUCUGGUGUCAAUUGUUAAUAAAUUGUGAACCUUU
Oreochromis aureus is the source of this 676-nucleotide long non-coding RNA. RefSeq lists it as uncharacterized. The record is from RefSeq and is a predicted model, not a curated record. The transcript has 2 exons. Lineage: Eukaryota; Metazoa; Chordata; Actinopteri; Cichliformes; Cichlidae.